GGCAGUUCUCAGGUGAUGCGCCCCAGAAUCAGGCUCCCUCCUCUCUGGUUCCAGGUGUGUCACCCAAGAACCGCA
Non-coding RNA from Myotis davidii, 75 nucleotides. The record is from Rfam. Lineage: Eukaryota; Metazoa; Chordata; Mammalia; Chiroptera; Vespertilionidae.